UACGUAGGGGCGAGCGUUAUCCGGAAUUAUUGGGCGUAAAGAGUGCGUAGGUGGUUACCUAAGCGCAAGGUUUAAUCUUGAGGCUCAACCUCAUUCUGCCUUGCGAACUGGGCUACUUGAGUGCUGGAGGGGAAAGCGGAAUUCCCAGUGUAGCGGUGAAAUGCGUAGAUAUUGGGAAGAACACCGGUGGCGAAGGCGGCUUUCUGGACAGUAACUGACACUGAGGCACGAAAGCGUGGGGAGCAAACAGGAUUAGAUACCCUGGUAGUCCCUGA
RNAcentral lists this ribosomal RNA (275 nucleotides) under uncultured prokaryote. RNAcentral's name for it is "partial 16S ribosomal RNA". It matches the Rfam family "Bacterial small subunit ribosomal RNA", at positions 524 to 800 of the family's 1533-position model. The record is from RNAcentral.